AUCAAUAAGCGGAGGAAAAGAAACUAACAAGGAUUCCCCUAGUAACGGCGAGUGAAGAGGGAAAAGCUCAAAUUUAAAAUCUGGCGGUCUACGGCCGUCCGAGUUGUAAUCUAGAGAAGUGUUUUCCGCGCUGGACCGUGUACAAGUCCUUUGGAACAAGGCGUCAUAGAGGGUGAGAAUCCCGUCUACGACACGGACUGCCAAGCGCUUUGUGAUACACUCUCAACGAGUCGAGUUGUUUGGGAAUGCAGCUCAAAAUGGGUGGUAAAUUCCAUCUAAAGCUAAAUAUGGGCGAAAGACCGAUAGCGAACAAGUACCGUGAGGGAAAGAUGAAAAGCACUUUGGAAAGAGAGUUAAACAGUACGUGAAAUUGUUGAAAGGGAAACGCUUGAAGUCAGUCGCGUCUUCAGAAAUUCAGCAGGGCUUCUGCCCUGCGUACUUUUCUGUGGGACGGGCCAGCAUCAGUUUUGGCUGCCAGAAAAAGGUGGGAGGAAGGUGGCACCUCCGGGUGUGUUAUAGCCUCCGAUCGUAUGUGGCAGCCGGGACUGAGGACCGCAGCACGCCUUCAUGGCCGGGGUUCGCCCACGUAACGUGCUUAGGAUGCUGGCGUAAUGGCUUUAAGCGACCCGUCUUGAAACACGGACCAAGGAGUCUAACAUGCCUGCGAGUAUUUGGGUGGCAAACCCAUAUGCGCAAUGAAAGUGAACGGUUGGGACUUCUGUCAUGGAAGGCACCGACGCCCGGACCAGACCUAUUGUGACGGAUCCGAGGUAGAGCAUGUAUGUUGGGACCCGAAAGAUGGUGAACUAUGCCUGAGUAGGGGUGAAGCCAAGAGGAAACUCUG
RNAcentral lists this ribosomal RNA (844 nucleotides) under Geastrum triplex. RNAcentral describes it as "LSU rRNA". It matches the Rfam family "Eukaryotic large subunit ribosomal RNA", at positions 42 to 866 of the family's 3401-position model. Lineage: Eukaryota; Fungi; Basidiomycota; Agaricomycetes; Geastrales; Geastraceae. The record is from RNAcentral.